GGCCGUUCUUAGUUCGUGGAGUGACUUGUGUGGUUAAUUCCGAUAACGAAUGCGACUCAAAUAUAUUAACUAGAUGCUUUCAGGAUUAUGGUUUUGAAGGUUUUACGGCCUUCAUUUACGAGCACAGUAAAAUGUGUUUAUAAAAGUGGAGCCGUACCUGUGGGUUUGUCCUUUCAUAGAACACUAGCUUCUUAAAUAGACAAAUUUGCGUCUAGCAAUAAUGAGAUUGAGCAAUAACAGGUCUGUG
This 247-nucleotide non-coding RNA is filed under the name Glossina morsitans morsitans. Its description in RNAcentral is "eukaryotic small subunit ribosomal RNA". It matches the Rfam family "Eukaryotic small subunit ribosomal RNA", at positions 1286 to 1466 of the family's 1831-position model. Lineage: Eukaryota; Metazoa; Arthropoda; Insecta; Diptera; Glossinidae. The record is from RNAcentral.